Molecule: non-coding RNA, 171 nt
Filed under: Nitrospirillum amazonense
Lineage: Bacteria; Pseudomonadati; Pseudomonadota; Alphaproteobacteria; Rhodospirillales; Azospirillaceae
Source: RNAcentral
GUCACCGCGAGGUGGGGUCCGAAGGAAGCUGUAAGCAAAGUGCCGGCCUGACGAACAGGAAUCGCAUGAGGCGUCCGCACCUGGGCGAGGGAGCCAUUAAGCCCGAAGCCCGAUAUCACCCGGAAGGUGCUGGCGUAUAUGCGGCGGGUAUAUGGCAUGAAGGUCACGCGU